UGCUGAAUAAAUUUGAAAUAG
Non-coding RNA from Caenorhabditis elegans, 21 nucleotides. The record is from Ensembl. Lineage: Eukaryota; Metazoa; Nematoda; Chromadorea; Rhabditida; Rhabditidae.